RNAcentral lists this long non-coding RNA (453 nucleotides) under Meriones unguiculatus (Mongolian gerbil). RNAcentral's name for it is "lncRNA (ENSMUGG00000009859.1)". Lineage: Eukaryota; Metazoa; Chordata; Mammalia; Rodentia; Muridae. The record is from RNAcentral.
AUGGAAAAUAUCUUCCCACCUUGGGAAACUGUUUCAAAUUUACAAAAUACCACAGAAAACUGCCAACCCAAUGCUACUUUGGAGUUACUGCCAAGACACUAUUUUGACCCAGUUAUGAAUGCAGAGAGCUUCAAUAUAUACAGUGCUAUGCAUGCUGUGGCCUACAGUCUCCAUGAGAUGAAUCUUCAGCAAAUACAGACAUAACCACAUGUUAAUGGAGAUGGAAAGGAAUUCUUCCCCUGGCAGUUCCUUUAUUUCCUAAAGAAUGACCUACUGAAAAAUCUCUUGAGAGGUCACAAAAUACUGGAUGGGAGAAAAUGCCUAGAUUCAGAGUAUGACAUUCUCAAUUUUUGGAAUUUUCCAAAGGGUCUUGGAUUAAAGGUUAAAGUAUGCACCAUUUUCAUAUGCACCAUUUUCUUCAGAUGCUCCUCUUGGUCAACAGUUGUCUAUGUG